AUCAAUAAGCGGAGGAAAAGAAACCAACAGGGAUUGCCCUAGUAACGGCGAGUGAAGCGGCAACAGCUCAAAUUUGAAAUCUGGCCCUCGUGGUCCGAGUUGUAAUUUGCAGAGGAUGCUUUGGGUGCGGCGCCUUCCAAGUUCCCUAGAACGGGACGCCUUAGAGGGUGAGAGCCCCGUACGGUUGGACGCCUAGCCUAUGUAUAGCUCCUUCGACGAGUCGAGUAGUUUGGGAAUGCUGCUCUAAAUGGGAGGUAAAUUUCUUCUAAAGCUAAAUACCGGCCAGAGACCGAUAGCGCACAAGUAGAGUGAUCGAAAGAUGAAAAGUACUUUGAAAAGAGGGUUAAAUAGCACGUGAAAUUGUUGAAAGGGAAGCGUUUGCGACCAGACCUUUUCCAGGCGGAUCAUCCGGCGUUCUCGCCGGUGCACUUCGCCUGGUUUAGGCCAGCAUCGGUUUUCCCAGGGGGAUAAAGGCGGCGGGAACGUGGCUCUCUCGGGAGUGUUAUAGCCCGCCGCGUAAUACCCUUGGGGGGACCGAGGACCGCGCUUCGGCAAGGAUGCUGGCGUAAUGGUCGUCAACGACCCGUCUUGAAACACGGACCAAGGAGUCGAACAUUUGUGCGAGUGUUUGGGUGUCAAACCCUCACGCGUAAUGAAAGUGAACGGAGGUGAGAGCCCCUCGCGGGUGCAUCAUCGACCGAUCCUGAUGUCUUCGGAUGGAUUUGAGUAAGAGCAUAACUGUUCGGACCCGAAAGAUGGUGAACUAUGCGUGGAUAGGGUGAAGCCAGAGGAAACUCUGGUGGAGGCUCGCAGCGGUUCUGACGUGCAAAUCGAUCGUCAAAUCUGCGCAUGGGGGCGAAAGACUUAUCGAACCAUCUAGUAGC
RNAcentral lists this ribosomal RNA (884 nucleotides) under Pyrenopolyporus laminosus. Its description in RNAcentral is "partial large subunit ribosomal RNA". It matches the Rfam family "Eukaryotic large subunit ribosomal RNA", at positions 42 to 951 of the family's 3401-position model. Lineage: Eukaryota; Fungi; Ascomycota; Sordariomycetes; Xylariales; Hypoxylaceae. The record is from RNAcentral.